RNAcentral lists this ribosomal RNA (580 nucleotides) under uncultured bacterium. RNAcentral's name for it is "bacterial SSU rRNA". It matches the Rfam family "Bacterial small subunit ribosomal RNA", at positions 46 to 676 of the family's 1533-position model. The record is from RNAcentral.
GCUUACCAUGCAGUCGAGCGCCCCGCAAGGGGAGCGGCAGACGGGUGAGUAACGCGUGGGAAUCUACCCAACCCUACGGAAUAACGCAUGGAAACGUGUGCUAAUACCGUAUACGCCCUACGGGGGAAAGAUUUAUCGGGGAUGGAUGAGCCCGCGUUGGAUUAGCUAGUUGGUGGGGUAAAGGCCUACCAAGGCGAUGAUCCAUAGCUGGUCUGAGAGGAUGAUCAGCCACAUUGGGACUGAGACACGGCCCAAACUCCUACGGGAGGCAGCAGUGGGGAAUAUUGGACAAUGGGCGCAAGCCUGAUCCAGCCAUGCCGCGUGAGUGAUGAAGGCCCUAGGGUUGUAAAGCUCUUUCACCGAUGAAGAUAAUGACGGUAGUCGGAGAAGAAGCCCCGGCUAACUUCGUGCCAGCAGCCGCGGUAAUACGAAGGGGGCUAGCGUUGUUCGGAAUUACUGGGCGUAAAGCGCACGUAGGCGGAUAUUUAAGGUCAGGGGUGAAAUCCCAGAGCUCGACUCUGGAACUGCCUUUUGAUACUGGGUAUUUGAGUAUGGAUGAGGUAAGUGGAAUUCCGAGUGU